Long non-coding RNA from Etheostoma cragini (Arkansas darter), 75 nucleotides. RefSeq lists it as uncharacterized. NCBI's taxonomy places the organism in Eukaryota, Metazoa, Chordata, Actinopteri, Perciformes, Percidae. The transcript has 3 exons. The record is from RefSeq and is a predicted model, not a curated record.
UAAGUUAGCAUGUUUAACGUCGCUAAGCUUGUUUGGUAAGAUGAUAGAUAGUUAACUAGCUAGCUUGCUAAUUCC